This is an RNA transcript of Macadamia integrifolia, 1548 nucleotides long. It is a transcript of the gene named mediator of RNA polymerase II transcription subunit 9, with no coding region annotated. The transcript has 7 exons. The record is from RefSeq and is a predicted model, not a curated record. Lineage: Eukaryota; Viridiplantae; Streptophyta; Magnoliopsida; Proteales; Proteaceae.
ACUGAAUGCAUGAAGGGAAGCAAUCCCUCUUUCUUCCAUUCCUGCUUAGGAUAAAAGGACGUGAAUUGUGAACCAUUGCUCAAGUUAGGGGGAAGAUCUAUUUCUGAAAUAGCUGGAAGUUUCCUAACCAAAGCUGGAAACUAAUGGAACACCCAUACUCAGGAGGGAGCUGGAUGAUGAUUCCUAGUUCCUCGACUCCCAACACUGCAGGGGCAACAUCAAAUCAGGACCUUUCUCUCCUCCACCAACAUCAUCUUCAUCAUCAACAACAGCAGCAGCAGCAGCAGCUACAACAACAACAACAACAGCAGCAACAGCGUCAUCAACAGCAACAUCAUCAGCAUCAGUCACUGGCUUCUCAUUUCCAUCUUUUACAUUUGGUGGAGAAUUUAGCAGAUGCAAUUGAAAGUGGUACACGGGAUCAGCAUUCAGACACGGUUAGUGACUUGACUGGCCACUUUGAAAAGUGUCAACAGAUAUUAAACUCAAUAUCAGGAUCAAUAAAUGCAAAGGCUAUGACAGUUGAAGGGCAGAAGCGUAAACUGGAGGAAACUGAGCAACUGCUACACCAAAGAAGGGAUCUGAUUUCCAAGUACAGAAGCUCUGUUGAACAUCUGAUUAAGUUGGGCAGAUGACAGAGACCAUCCUUCUGGUUUUCAUGCCAAAGCAGGAGUAUGAGAGUCUCAGAGGAAGAGAAAGCUUGGGGUCGGCUUCAGAGGCCAGUUGUUAUGGUAACAAAUGAUGAUUCUAUGGCUUGCAGUCGUCAUUUCUGGUUUCAUUAGCUUGACGAUUGUCUUUCCCGGUGAUGAGGGGAAGAGACCCCUGUGUAGAGAUUGGCGACUUCAGCCCUUGCCAAUUAACUUGACUGGAGAUUCUGAUCUCUAUGUGGGAGCAUUUUAUCUCACCGAGCAAGAGGCAGCGGAUUAUUACUGGAUGGUUGUGUUCAUUCCUUCAGUUAUUCUUUUCUUUGCCUCGGUUGUUUACCUUGUAGCAGGUUUCUGUAUAUGAUGGUUUACAUUCUGACUUCAGGUGAAUCGUUUCAUAGCUGCAUUAUUGCUUCAAAAAACGUGGAUGCAGUUAAUUGAAGAGGGACCAAUUCAUGGGAUAAAUUUGGAAGCAAUUGAAAUUUGUAGGACAAGGAGUCAUGUACUGGAGAAGAACCAGUCUUCUAGUCUCGACCAUAUCCGAAUGAACCUUGGGCAACAGUUUGCAAAUUAAUUUAGUGCAAACACAAAUUUUCCAAAAUGUUGCUAGAUUGCGCAAUUAGGGUCUAAGGUAGAGCCAUUCGUAAUAUGAAUUUUAUUUUCCCAAGAAAUGGAAGAAUAGUACAAUGCUCCAAUGAGUAGCAUUCCGUUCGUGAACGUAAAAAUUAAUCAGAUUUUCUGGAUCAUGAAGUUUAGAGACAUCCAACCAUAUAGAUACUGAUUUGAACUGUCUGCCAAGAGAUAAAUCGGCAUGGGAGACAAGAAGGUUAGAUGUUCAACCUGGAUGAUAGAUGGUGAAUCUGAUGAUCUGAUUCAGUUUAAUCUAAAAAUUUUCAUCUUGUUA